Molecule: non-coding RNA, 25 nt
Filed under: Equus caballus (horse)
Lineage: Eukaryota; Metazoa; Chordata; Mammalia; Perissodactyla; Equidae
Also listed under: 1 other name
Source: RNAcentral
UAAUUAAGAGCUGAAUUAGAUGGAA